UUGUCUUGUUUUGUGUGUCUCAUGACUUCUAAAAUGCAAUUUAUACUGCUUUUCUGAGAGUAUUUAUGUCUGUUAAUCACUCAAAUCUUGAUUUGCUGAUGCAUUGAGAUCAAGCAACACUUUAUUUUCACAGGAUUAGUAAUUAAAUGGUUAAGGGCAAGAAAAGAGUUGGGGGUCUUUGUUAUUCUGGAUUUUGCUUUUGGUGAAAUUUGCAUAAUUACUGCUGAUACUUUUGUAAAAGAGAAAAGAAAGAGAAGGAACAGCCGAGAUAAAAGCUGCUUUACUAGAGAAAAAGUCAGAUAUGAGAGUGGAAAAAUCUUCUUUUACUUAUGUUUAUGUUACCUGUUUUGGGUAACAAUGGGACUUGUAGCAUGCUUUUUAAGCCUUAUAUGAUGCAAAGAUUGCAUAAAGAAUAGUGGAGCAUUUCCAAAGUCUUUUGGGACCUUGUAUCUGGCUUUCUUGGAAUUGAGAACUCUUGAAAUCGUUAAUUCCUAGCAUGCACUAUGCUAUCCCAUUUGCAAUAGUUAUUUGAUUUUGGAAUUUUUGACUGCCAGAUGCAGUGUAAACUAAGAAAUAUUUAAAAUAUAUUGAAGGUGAGUAUGGUCUCAGAUAUGAAUAAUUUUGGUUAGUUAAAAUGAAAAUUAGUAUUUUUUCUAAAAAUCUAUAAAUAAAUAAACAGUGCGUAAAUGAUGUUUCUUUCUUGCUUGUUAGCACUCUCAUUUUUUAACCUGUAGUUUAGGGCCUGCUCUCUCUCUGGAUGACUGCCAUCAAACUGACAUUCAGGAUAAUUAGUUGGAUUUGUUGUUCAGCCAUUUCAAAUUUUGCUAAUGUAGAAUAUUUGUAUGCAUAGAGAUGGCACGGCGGGAUAGGCAAAGUAGGAAAAAAAGGCAGAGGUGGGUUUGGGGCUCAAUUGCUGCUGCGAUUACCCUUGGCACUGCAGCAUUAGCAUGGUCUUACCUCCCUGCAGGAAAAGCAUCGACUUCGAAUGGUGGCCCCCAGGCACCUGAGCAUGAUGAUACAGCUAAACAAUGAAAAAAAAAAGAAGAAAAAAACGUUCGAUGUCAUGCGUGGAAAUAAAAGAAUAAAACGGCCAUUUAUGCUGCUACUUUGUGAAUAGUGAUCGGUUGGUUUAUCAGUUGCAAUUCCCUGGAUGCAGAGGCCAGAGGAUGUAUAGUACCAUCAAAUAAUUCGGGUUAUCUCGAGUUGUGCCAUUGAAUGACUAUCCCGGAGGUGAUGACUUUUGAAUUGAAUCAGCCUGUGUUAUCAAAUUAAUAUCUUUAUUUAGCUGCUGUACGCAUUAAUCAUAGCUCAUGUUUGUUGUUGUACACCCAAUGGAAGCCUGAUGUUUUUGUUCUUAAAUGCCUCGAGUAGGGCAAUCAGUAGAGGACAACGAGCAGCAGAUGGAUUUGAAAUAGUAGUUUACAUGUGAUAAAGAGGAUUAGAAUGUAUUGCGGCUUACAUGCAUCUAUAACAUAUUUGAGUUUGUUAAAACAUUUUAAAUUUUUCAACAAGGAUGGUUGUAUGCAGAACCCUCGUUUGUUUGAGCUGUUGUAGUGGAUGUGUGAGUUACAGCUACAUGUUUAUCCGUGCUGUAGUCAGUUGGUCCUGAGGUUAUUGUUGUAGAUUUAUUUUUUAAGCCAGCUGACUGAAAGUGAAUAUGUAUGCUUCCACGUCUCGUGCAGUUAUUCUAAAUCUUUUUAUCUUAAAUUUGAAAUUGAUUUCGGGUCAUUAAUUAAGUCAUUAAUUAAGUUGUUGGUAAUUUUUUAUAAGAUUUGAUUGUAUUAUUUUAUCAAUCAAUUGACAAAUACUACAUUAUUUGAGAUAAUUUUUUAAAAUAAAAAAUUUAAGAUAUAUAGCACUAUUAUUUUUGUAUAUAGUAAUGUUACAUAAAUACGAAGUUUCAAUAGUGUGUUCAAGGUUUUCCAUUGAAUUGAUGUGUGAUUGGCAAGAGCUUGAUGUUAUUUAUUUCACUAUUUGUUAGUGGUGUUCAAUAAUUGAAUCAGAAAAAGUAAAAAAUGAAAACAAAAAAUUGAAGAGAGAGAGAGAGAGGAAAGCUGUUUCCCAGUUUUCUGAAGCUUUGGCGCGCCAUCUUCGUUAAGGAUGUAAUUUCGAAGAGAUAAAAGCUGCUUUACUAGAGAAAAAGUCAGAUAUGAGAGUGGAAAAAUCUUCUUUUACUUAUGUUUAUGUUACCUGUUUUGGGUAACAAUGGGACUUGUAGCAUGCUUUUUAAGCCUUAUAUGAUGCAAAGAUUGCAUAAAGAAUAGUGGAGCAUUUCCAAAGUCUUUUGGGACCUUGUAUCUGGCUUUCUUGGAAUUGAGAACUCUUGAAAUCGUUAAUUCCUAGCAUGCACUAUGCUAUCCCAUUUGCAAUAGUUAUUUGAUUUUGGAAUUUUUGACUGCCAGAUGCAGUGUAAACUAAGAAAUAUUUAAAAUAUAUUGAAGGUGAGUAUGGUCUCAGAUAUGAAUAAUUUUGGUUAGUUAAAAUGAAAAUUAGUAUUUUUUCUAAAAAUCUAUAAAUAAAUAAACAGUGCGUAAAUGAUGUUUCUUUCUUGCUUGUUAGCACUCUCAUUUUUUAACCUGUAGUUUAGGGCCUGCUCUCUCUCUGGAUGACUGCCAUCAAACUGACAUUCAGGAUAAUUAGUUGGAUUUGUUGUUCAGCCAUUUCAAAUUUUGCUAAUGUAGAAUAUUUGUAUGCAUAGAGAUGGCACGGCGGGAUAGGCAAAGUAGGAAAAAAAGGCAGAGGUGGGUUUGGGGCUCAAUUGCUGCUGCGAUUACCCUUGGCACUGCAGCAUUAGCAUGGUCUUACCUCCCUGCAGGAAAAGCAUCGACUUCGAAUGGUGGCCCCCAGGCACCUGAGCAUGAUGAUACAGCUAAACAAUGAAAAAAAAAAGAAGAAAAAAACGUUCGAUGUCAUGCGUGGAAAUAAAAGAAUAAAACGGCCAUUUAUGCUGCUACUUUGUGAAUAGUGAUCGGUUGGUUUAUCAGUUGCAAUUCCCUGGAUGCAGAGGCCAGAGGAUGUAUAGUACCAUCAAAUAAUUCGGGUUAUCUCGAGUUGUGCCAUUGAAUGACUAUCCCGGAGGUGAUGACUUUUGAAUUGAAUCAGCCUGUGUUAUCAAAUUAAUAUCUUUAUUUAGCUGCUGUACGCAUUAAUCAUAGCUCAUGUUUGUUGUUGUACACCCAAUGGAAGCCUGAUGUUUUUGUUCUUAAAUGCCUCGAGUAGGGCAAUCAGUAGAGGACAACGAGCAGCAGAUGGAUUUGAAAUAGUAGUUUACAUGUGAUAAAGAGGAUUAGAAUGUAUUGCGGCUUACAUGCAUCUAUAACAUAUUUGAGUUUGUUAAAACAUUUUAAAUUUUUCAACAAGGAUGGUUGUAUGCAGAACCCUCGUUUGUUUGAGCUGUUGUAGUGGAUGUGUGAGUUACAGCUACAUGUUUAUCCGUGCUGUAGUCAGUUGGUCCUGAGGUUAUUGUUGUAGAUUUAUUUUUUAAGCCAGCUGACUGAAAGUGAAUAUGUAUGCUUCCACGUCUCGUGCAGUUAUUCUAAAUCUUUUUAUCUUAAAUUUGAAAUUGAUUUCGGGUCAUUAAUUAAGUCAUUAAUUAAGUUGUUGGUAAUUUUUUAUAAGAUUUGAUUGUAUUAUUUUAUCAAUCAAUUGACAAAUACUACAUUAUUUGAGAUAAUUUUUUAAAAUAAAAAAUUUAAGAUAUAUAGCACUAUUAUUUUUGUAUAUAGUAAUGUUACAUAAAUACGAAGUUUCAAUAGUGUGUUCAAGGUUUUCCAUUGAAUUGAUGUGUGAUUGGCA
Molecule: long non-coding RNA, 3795 nt
Filed under: Citrus sinensis (sweet orange)
Lineage: Eukaryota; Viridiplantae; Streptophyta; Magnoliopsida; Sapindales; Rutaceae
Description: long non-coding RNA (CSIN_LNC000448)
Source: RNAcentral